Molecule: ribosomal RNA, 501 nt
Filed under: uncultured bacterium
Lineage: Bacteria
Description: partial 16S ribosomal RNA
Rfam family: Bacterial small subunit ribosomal RNA
Source: RNAcentral
AUUGAACGCUGGCGGCAGGCUUAACACAUACAAGUCGAGCGGAGAUGAGGUGCUUGCACCUUAUCUUAGCGGCGGACGGGUGAGUAAUGCUUAGGAAUCUGCCUAUUAGUGGGGGACAACAUUCCGAAAGGAAUGCUAAUACCGCAUACGUCCUACGGGAGAAAGCAGGGGAUCUUCGGACCUUGCGCUAAUAGAUGAGCCUAAGUCGGAUUAGCUAGUUGGGGGGGUAAAGGCCUACCAAGGCGACGAUCUGUAGCGGGUCUGAGAGGAUGAUCCGCCACACUGGGACUGAGACACGGCCCAGACUCCUACGGGAGGCAGCAGUGGGGAAUAUUGGACAAUGGGGGGAACCCUGAUCCAGCCAUGCCGCGUGUGUGAAGAAGGCCUUAUGGUUGUAAAGCACUUUAAGCGAGGAGGAGGCUACUGAGACUAAUACUCUUGGAUAGUGGACGUUACUCGCAGAAUAAGCACCGGCUAACUCUGUGCCAGCCGCCGCCGUAA